This 253-nucleotide ribosomal RNA is filed under the name uncultured bacterium. RNAcentral describes it as "partial 16S ribosomal RNA". It matches the Rfam family "Bacterial small subunit ribosomal RNA", at positions 524 to 776 of the family's 1533-position model. The record is from RNAcentral.
AACGUAGGAGGCGAACGUUAUCCGGAGUUACUGGGCGUAAAGGGCGUGUAGGCGGUUUGUUAAGUCUGGCGUGAAAGCUCUCGGCUAAACCGGGAGAGGUCGUUGGAUACUGGCGAACUAGAGGAUGGUAGAGGCGUGUGGAAUUCCGGGUGUAGUGGUGAAAUGCGUAGAGAUCCGGAGGAACACCAGUGGCGAAGGCGACACGCUGGGCCAUACCUGACGCUAAAGCGCGACAGCAUGGGGAGCAAACGGG